This 274-nucleotide ribosomal RNA is filed under the name uncultured bacterium. RNAcentral describes it as "partial 16S ribosomal RNA". It matches the Rfam family "Bacterial small subunit ribosomal RNA", at positions 523 to 796 of the family's 1533-position model. The record is from RNAcentral.
AUACGAAGGGUGCAAGCGUUAAUCGGAAUUACUGGGCGUAAAGCGCGCGUAGGUGGUUCGUUAAGUUGGAUGUGAAAGCCCCGGGCUCAACCUGGGAACUGCAUCCAAAACUGGCGAGCUAGAGUACGGUAGAGGGUGGUGGAAUUUCCUGUGUAGCGGUGAAAUGCGUAGAUAUAGGAAGGAACACCAGUGGCGAAGGCGACCACCUGGACUGAUACUGACACUGAGGUGCGAAAGCGUGGGGAGCAAACAGGAUUAGAUACCCUAGUAGUCC